AUAAAACAACAGACAGCGCUUUUCCGUCUCUUGAGUGCAAGAUAAAGAAGAACGAUGGUGGGCUUUCACAGGAAUACGAUGAAUCCUGACCAUCACGGUGUCUGCAUUGACGGUACAAUACAGGUCAAAGGGAUGAGCUACUCUAUGAAGAACAAGUGGACCUCUUGAAGGCUUGGAGCAUCUGGGCCGACCCGUGAGAUGCUGUAUGCAAACCAGUGGACUUUCUGGAGGUUUGCAGUUUCUUAACAAACUGGGUUGAAUAUGAGCAAUGGACCUUCUGGAGUUGUUAUACAUAUUGAAGUGGAUGGUUUCGUAACAAAUCUGCCGAUGACGCGUCAGUGUGGUGUUGCCCCAAUCAAAGUCGUCUGGGAAGUGUUGUCAAGGUGUGAACCAAUUAGUCAUUUUUUUUGAAGGACCUGUUCUGAUCAAUGAUGACACCUUACUGUGUGACUGUUGGAUGAAACCUGCGGAUAUGGGACUUAGAUCACAGCUACUCUAAAACUGCUAUGAUGGGGCAUAUGAGGACACUAACUUGUAUUUUAUUCUAAGGCCUUGCAACUGGUGACAUGCGUGACAGCAUUGUCAAAUUCCACAUCACAACACGAUGCACGCCGGUACUCGUGUGUAGGUAUGUAGUUGACUAGUUCCUGACUCCUCGACAGGUUGUUCUGAUCAAUGAUUGAUAACAAAACUUGAAAUUGUGACUGUUGGAUGAAACAUGCGGAUAUGGGACUGAGAUCAGGACUCAUGGCAAGUAGUGACAUUUGGAUGAGUCUUCUGGAACUAAAAUCAUACCCCUGUAUUUCUGUUUUGUUAUUAGAUGUGCUAAGAUGGCUGAAGACCAGUCUGGACCAAGGGCUUUCUGGCCUGCCCCUUCAGUUAGAAGAAACCCAACGAGUCUAUUUUAAAUAAACUCUCAAAACCUUGAA
Esox lucius (northern pike) is the source of this 929-nucleotide long non-coding RNA. The record is from Ensembl. Lineage: Eukaryota; Metazoa; Chordata; Actinopteri; Esociformes; Esocidae.